GAAUCCCGUCCACCGAUUGACUAAGGUUUCCAGAGGAAGGCUCGUCCGCUCUGGGUUAGUCGGGUCCUAAGCUGAGGCCGACAGGCGUAGGCGAUGGAUAACAGGUUGAUAUUCCUGUACCACCUAUAAUCGUUUUAAUCGAUGGGGGGACGCAGUAGGAUAGGCGAAGCGUGCGAUUGGAUUGCACGUCUAAGCAGUAAGGCUGAGUAUUAGGCAAAUCCGGUACUCGUUGAGGCUGAGCUGUGAUGGGGAGAAGACAUUGUGUCUUCGAGUCGUUGAUUUCACACUGCCGAGAAAAGCCUCUAGAUAGAAAAUAGGUGCCCGUACCGCAAACCGACACAGGUAGUCAAGAUGAGAAUUCUAAGGUGAGCGAGCGAACUCUCGUUAAGGAACUCGGCAAAAUGACCCCGUAACUUCGGGAGAAGGGGUGCUCUUUAGGGUUAACGCCCAGAAGAGCCGCAGUGAAUAGGCCCAAGCGACUGUUUAUCAAAAACACAGGUCUCUGCUAAACCGUAAGGUGAUGUAUAGGGGCUGACGCCUGCCCGGUGCUGGAAGGUUAAGAGGAGUGGUUAGCUUCUGCGAAGCUACGAAUCGAAGCCCCAGUAAACGGCGGCCGUAACUAUAACGGUCCUAAGGUAGCGAAAUUCCUUGUCGGGUAAGUUCCGACC
This is a ribosomal RNA of 668 nucleotides. It matches the Rfam family "Bacterial large subunit ribosomal RNA", at positions 1325 to 1988 of the family's 2925-position model.